RNAcentral lists this transfer RNA (95 nucleotides) under Streptomyces violaceus subsp. violarus. RNAcentral's name for it is "Streptomyces violarus tRNA-Arg(tcg)". RNAcentral also lists the same sequence under 1 other name. The record is from RNAcentral. Lineage: Bacteria; Bacillati; Actinomycetota; Actinomycetes; Kitasatosporales; Streptomycetaceae.
CGGUGGCGUGGCCGCCGGAGGAGGGCGGUCCGCCGCCGUCGCGGCGGCGGAGGUAGCGCUCGAACUCCCGGGCGAUCGCCUCGCCCGACGCCUCC